UCCUCCGUGGCGCAAUUGGCUAGCGCGUCCGACUGUUAAACCACUUGGUUCGGCGAUCGGGAGGUUCGUGGUUCGAGCCCACGCGGGGGAG
Karstenula rhodostoma CBS 690.94 is the source of this 91-nucleotide non-coding RNA. The record is from the annotation of a GenBank genome assembly. Lineage: Eukaryota; Fungi; Ascomycota; Dothideomycetes; Pleosporales; Didymosphaeriaceae.